This is a long non-coding RNA of Strigops habroptila (Kakapo), 1146 nucleotides long. RefSeq lists it as uncharacterized. The record is from RefSeq and is a predicted model, not a curated record. The transcript is spliced from 3 exons. Lineage: Eukaryota; Metazoa; Chordata; Aves; Psittaciformes; Psittacidae.
AUCACUAAACUUGAGCUCACUUGUCACAAUGGCAAUAGAGUUGGAAUUUAAUUAUCUGCUGGAGAGAAGCCCUGACAGCUGUGGCGUAGGUUUUUCAAUGUAGAUGUUGCCUGGAUCGCAAGAAAAAUAUCAAGGGCUGGUGAGAACAGCCAUGUUCUAAAAGAAUCUCUGCCUGGGUUAGACCACUGCCUACCGAAGAGGAUUUAGGUUGGAAGCAGUGUUUGCUUACCACAUUACCCCUGGGUUUGCCUCUGGCUUGUGUUUCCUGGAGGAAAGGCGAUGGGUCUGCUGCUGGUUCCUAAAAUACUGCCAGUCUGUGAUGGCCUUCUGGUAGUGAAACCAGUUUCCUAGUAGCAGCAUCAGGGGCCGGCUGAUGGGUGGCAGGAGACAGAAGCGGCGGUUUGUUGCACAGCCUGCCAGAGAAUUCAUGACUUCCAUCCAAGCACCGGAGAAGCAACUGGCAGUGGGGGAAAGACCUUAUGGCAUGGAACAAUAUUUGGAAAACAUUUUUUUUUUAAACCCCAGGGAAGAGAAGACUAAACAUCCGGGUUUUCCAGUAAUAAGCUCUGCUAAACGAUGAGCCUCGGCUCUCCUGACACCAGCAUGCUGCAUGGAAUAGCCUUUCCUUGCUGAAACCAAGGCCAGGGAUUCAGACACCAAAGCAGGAAUCAGAGGCAGCUAGCCCUCGGUGCUGUUAGUAGAGUAGUACUGUCUCCCUAGUUGCUUAAAACGCAGAGAGGAAAACGCAUAUCUGCUCUGUAACUAGUGGAGUUAAAGAAGAAACGAUGCAGCAGAAUUGCCCAAGCACAGAUACAGCACGCACCAGGAAUUAGGGAGGGAUUCCUGCACCCGUGGGAGGCUUUGCUUCCAACCCCCCUCAAUCAGAGCAUGAUUUUGGGGCAGCCUGGCCCCACAACUGAAGGGAAGAGGCUCUCCCUAAACAUGACGAGAGAUACAAGUAUGAGCAAUUGCUCCCCAAGCGGAGAUGAUCAUCUGUCUGGUGUUCAGUUUUACUAAAGGCUGCCUGUCUCUCCUGUGAGAAGCAGCUCCUUUCCUUCCUCCCUCCCUCCUGCACAGGCACCGCUGUGUUUGCUGCUUCCUGAGAGCCUCUUAUGCCGUGAUUGUCAGUGCUGGAGUGCACUUAAC